AUCACUUCUCAAAGUUCGCUUUGAUUAAGUGUAGUAUCUGUUCUAGAAAGUUUAAUAGCUUUCUGUUACCUCAUGUAGUGUAACAAAGUAUUAGAUAAUUUAUUUUCAGAGGUAUGAUUGACAUUGAGAAUAUUGACUUGUCAUAUUCGUCAUUCACUUGGUAUUUGCUCUGUAUUGCACCAAUAUCAGAGAUUAAAAAGUUCCCC
Molecule: small nuclear RNA, 206 nt
Rfam family: U2 spliceosomal RNA
About the family: U2 is a small nuclear RNA (snRNA) component of the spliceosome (involved in pre-mRNA splicing).
Source: Rfam